CCCCAGUCACCAAGAUGAGGCGCAGGGCACAGAGCAGAAGCCCUCAGGCCUGUUUGGAGAGCUCAGGCUGCCCCUCGCACUCCCAGAGGUGGUGUUUGGAAGGUGUGAAAGGGUCCGGGGGAUUGUAACGCGCAGAGAGAUCUGGGAACUGCCGAACUGGGGACUUCACAGACGGAGCAUGGCAGAUGUGUCGCCUGCAGGUCCUUGCCUUGCCCAAGGUUCCAAGUAUCCACUCUGUCCUGAAAGUGUCAGUGGAGACCGGGGAAAAAAGCGCUCUUCCUACCAGGCAGAGGCCGGACAAGGCUGCCUCCGGUACUUCCUGAUCACCAUGACAUGGAAGAGCACAGGCAAUAGCUGCUCGUCUCUGUGCACCGACACCACCAUGAUUUAGAGAAUUAAUCGGAGUGCAUCAGUGCCUCCCAGCAUGGGCUGCAUUAGGGAAUUACGGCCACAACCUUCAACCGUGCUGGUCCAGAAUGAAUCCUCAGAAGGCUGCCUCGAGGUCACAUGACAGAGUGGUCUGCAAGUGGAAAGUGUGAUUAUUACAGCAGGAGAUUCAUUACCAUUAAUUCCCAUCUAAUACUUCCCUUACUCCAAACACCUCUAGUUCAUCAUGCUCGCCAAUUGCUGAGGCAGUUCUACUACACCUCCUCUUUCAUGAGUGUGUUUGUGAAGGUGAUUAAAAAAAAGUGUGCUGCAUCUCACUGCCACAUGCCAUCCAGUGGAAAGGAAGACUUGUAAAACCAUCACAGCGUGCCCUCAUCCGCCUUAUUCACCAGAUCUGGCACCGUGACAUUUCUGGCUCUUUCCCAAAGUCAAAAUGACCAUGAAAUGUAAACGUUUUGCAUUGAUUCAGAUCACUGAGUCAGCCAUGACAGUGAAACUAGAGUCACACGGAAAGGAAAGGGGACUACAAAGCUGCUUCAGACAGUGAGAGAAGGAUGGCAGCAGUGUGUCUUUGAAGAGGAUUUGAGGGGAAUGA
Molecule: long non-coding RNA, 982 nt
Organism: Fukomys damarensis (Damara mole-rat)
Lineage: Eukaryota; Metazoa; Chordata; Mammalia; Rodentia; Bathyergidae
Exons: 3
Source: RefSeq, a predicted model, not a curated record